AGAAAGCGGGGGAUCGCAAGACCUCGCGCGAUUGGAGUGGCCGAUAUCGGAUUAGCUAGUUGGUGAGGUAAAGGCUCACCAAGGCGACGAUCCGUAGCUGGUCUGAGAGGACGACCAGCCACACUGGAACUGAGACACGGUCCAGACUCCUACGGGAGGCAGCAGUGGGGAAUUUUGGACAAUGGGCGCAAGCCUGAUCCAGCCAUUCCGCGUGAGUGAAGAAGGCCUUCGGGUUGUAAGGCUCUUUCGGCAGGAACGAAACGGUCUUUUCUAAUACAAGAGGCUAAUGACGGUACCUGAAGAAGAAGCACCGGCUAACUACGUGCCAGCAGCCGCGGUAAUACGUAGGGUGCGAGCGUUAAUCGGAAUUACUGGGCGUAAAGCGUGCGCAGGCGGCUCUAUAAGACAGAUGUGAAAUCCCCGGGCUUAACCUGGGAACUGCGUUUGUGACUGUAGGGCUAGAGUGCGGCAGAGGGGGGUAGAAUUCCACGUGUAGCAGUGAAAUGCGUAGAG
This 513-nucleotide ribosomal RNA is filed under the name uncultured beta proteobacterium. RNAcentral's name for it is "bacterial SSU rRNA". It matches the Rfam family "Bacterial small subunit ribosomal RNA", at positions 201 to 695 of the family's 1533-position model. The record is from RNAcentral. Lineage: Bacteria; Pseudomonadati; Pseudomonadota; Betaproteobacteria.